RNAcentral lists this ribosomal RNA (253 nucleotides) under uncultured bacterium. Its description in RNAcentral is "partial 16S ribosomal RNA". It matches the Rfam family "Bacterial small subunit ribosomal RNA", at positions 524 to 776 of the family's 1533-position model. The record is from RNAcentral.
GACGGAGGGUGCUAGCGUUGUUCGGAAUGACUGGGCGUAAAGGGCGCGUAGGCGGCCGGUUGCGUCGGAUGUGAAAGCCCGGGGCUCAACCCCGGAACGGCAUCCGAUACGGGCUGGCUCGAGACCGAGAGAGGUGAGUGGAAUACCCAGUGUAGAGGUGAAAUGCGCAGAUAUCAGGAAGAACACCCGUGGCUAAGGCGGCUCUCUAGUACGGUACUGACGCUGAGACGCGAAAGCGUGGGGAGCGAACAGG